GACGAACGCUGGCGGCGUGCCUAAUACAUGCAAGUCGAACGCAGUGGGGACGGGCGAGUAACACGUGGGCAAACUCACAUCAGAGGGGAUAACACGUGGAAACAGGUGCUAAACCGAUACUGAUGGAUGAACCCGGGGUGCAUUAGCUAGUUGGUGAAGUAACGCCUCACCAAGGCAACGAUGCAUAGCCGAACCGAGAGGGUGAUCGGCCACACUGGAACGGAGACACGGCCCAGAAUCCUACGGGAGUCAGCAGUAGGGAAGCUUCGGCAAUGGGCGAAAGUCUGACGGAGCAACGCCGCGUGAGUGAAGAAGGUUUUCGGAUCGUAAACCUCUGUUGUUAGAGAAGCGGUAUCUAACCAGAAAGCCACGGCUAACUACGUGCCAGCAGCCGCGGUAAUAC
Molecule: ribosomal RNA, 403 nt
Filed under: uncultured bacterium
Lineage: Bacteria
Description: partial 16S ribosomal RNA
Rfam family: Bacterial small subunit ribosomal RNA
Source: RNAcentral